GGGGGGGGGGGGGGGGGGGGGGGGGGGGGGGGGGGCGGGGGGGAGGGGGCUGGGUUGGGGGGGUGCUCGGGUGGCGGAGGGGGGGGUGAGACGUGCGUGGCGUGCCCUGGACUUUGGGCUGACUUCGGGAAACGGGGGCUAGGACCGGAGAGGCGCUCCUGCGGCAUGGUGGGGGUUGGAGAGUUUCGGCGGUUGGGGAUGGACUCGCGGCUUAUCAGCUUGUUGGUGGGGUAGUGGCUUACCCAGGCUUUGACGGGUAGCCGGCCUGAGAGGGUGACCGGCCACAUUGGGACUGAGAUACGGCCCAGACUCCUACGGGAGGCAGCAGUGGGGAAUAUUGCACAAUGGGCGGAAGCCUGAUGCAGCAACGCCGCGUGCGGGAUGACGGCCUUCGGGUUGUAAACCGCUUUCGCCUGUGACGAAGCGUGAGUGACGGUAAUGUGUAAAGAAGCACCGGCUAACUACGUG
Molecule: ribosomal RNA, 468 nt
Filed under: uncultured bacterium
Lineage: Bacteria
Description: partial 16S ribosomal RNA
Rfam family: Bacterial small subunit ribosomal RNA (bases 54-468)
Source: RNAcentral